This 1673-nucleotide long non-coding RNA is filed under the name Equus caballus (horse). RNAcentral's name for it is "lncRNA (ENSECAG00000042277.2)". The record is from RNAcentral. Lineage: Eukaryota; Metazoa; Chordata; Mammalia; Perissodactyla; Equidae.
CGGUGCCAGUCUGGUCUUAUAAUAUGACCCCGUGAGUCUGCAAAGAGCGCUCUGGCGACAAAAAGCUGCACAGCAGCCAUGGAAAGACUGAAGUUUGGUGCCAGUUUUGGCUCUGCCGUUAAUUCAUUCAGGACAACCUCGACACUGGUCUGGAGAGAAAGCUGGAUCCUGUGCAAAUAACUAGAGCGCAGCUAAGGGGAAGUAAAACGUGCUACUGAGGCAGGAAACGUCGGCACGUCACACAGCCUAUGCUGGACAGUCAAGGAGGGAUGUGUGAAAAGAAGCUUGUGUCUCCAGUAAAUGCAACCCAACAAGGUGGAAACCACUACCAUCACUGUUUUACUGAUGAAGAAAAACUGGGGUUCUAGGAGGACAAAUAGCUCGGUGAAGCCUGGGGAGCAGCGGUCCCAAAGCUCUGAUUCCUACACGUUUUCCUGCUGAGUCACACCGGCUGCUGAGACGUCGCCAGAGGACCUGACAGCCCCUUUAGGACUUGGACUCUAUUCUGCAUUGCUGGACGAUAAGCAGCUUUUUUCGUAUCAGUUCUUAAGAAAUGUGCAGCUUACACUGAUUAAAGGUAGGAUACACAUUUGGAAUUGAGGGCAAAACAGAAGAAUCGACUUCUUCUGAUUUCUAAUCACUGCUGGUCAAUGGAGUGCAUCCUUUCUCGGAUCAAGUCUCAGGCAGUCCUGUUCCACGGGUGGCAGUACCUACAGUUUUCUCACGUUCCUCUGCCUCCCUCUAGUGACGCGAGGAAGCCAGGGACAUCGUGAGCACUGUGCAGCCCCGAGGGUGGCUCUCAUACCUAAAGUGAUCACUCACCUCCGUGCCGGAACAUCUAGUUUCCAGCAAUUUGCAGACGGUAAACACCCAGAGGUCGCUGCUCAGAGGCAACUGUUGAAACUCUCGGAGGAGUUUUUCCAGCACAAUAGACAGUAUUGUGUAGAGCACAGCUUCUGGGGAAGACUGUUUGGAUUAAUAUCCUGGCUCUGUGACUUACUGCUGUGUACUGAGUUCAUUUUCUCCAGCCGUGCUUCAGUUUUCUUGUCUCUAAGCAUUGUAGGCGGCAUCAUCCACUCCACAGGCAGAGGAAGGGCGAGUUUGCACUCUCUCUGCUUGAGCUGGGCUGUCCAUCUUCUCCUGCCCUGGGACAUCCGCACUCCUUGUUCUUGGACCUUUGGACUUGGACUAGUGCUUAUGCCAUCAGCUCCUCUGGUCCUCAGGGCUUCAAGCUUGGACUGAAACUACACCACUGGGUCUCUUGCACAUGGCGGAUCCUGGAACUUCUCAGCUUCCACAAUCUCGUCUAAUGGUGAUAUGUUCAUCCUGAAGGCCAACUCUGUGAGGCACUAAGGAAUUCAUGCAUCAUUAUUAGAAUGGCUAUUCCUGCAUCGCUGCUAAGGCAGGGAUUGUCUCUGUCAGAGAGUGUAAGGAGGAUCUGGAGUCUCAGUCUUCAUGGUGUUUCCCAAGUACUGGAAAAAUGCUUAAUGGGCAAAAAGAUGGGAGCAAAUGGCUAAGAGGGAAUUUUGGGAUCAUAUCAACAUCUUAGUUAUGCUGUUCAUAUCGUCUUUACAGCAUCAUUGAUUAUCAACAGUAGGCCUUUUUGGAGAAAAGGAAGAGGAACGAGGUCUUAAAAAUGGUACUUCUUCAUAUUUCAUUUGUGCAUCGACCAC